Long non-coding RNA from Harpia harpyja (harpy eagle), 1072 nucleotides. RefSeq lists it as uncharacterized. The transcript has 5 exons. The record is from RefSeq and is a predicted model, not a curated record. NCBI's taxonomy places the organism in Eukaryota, Metazoa, Chordata, Aves, Accipitriformes, Accipitridae.
GUUUUUGCUUUUAAAAAGAAUACUGUUUAAGCUCUAAAUACAAACUGCAAGGAAAAAAGAACCAGGCGUACCAGUCUGGACACAUUUAAAGCCUGAACCCAUUCAACAGCUGCACCAACCACCGCUCAUUCCUGCUGCACACGCUCCACCGCCUGCCUGCAGGGAGACCCAGUGGAGAAGUACCAUGCACUGGAGAGCGUCCUUCAGGGAGGUGACAGCCGACUUCAGAGCAACGCUGAGAGCCACCUGACAGCAAAGGUGCCCGGUGGCCACAGAGGAGCCCAGUCCAGGUACAUCAGCCUCCAAGAAAAGGAGAAGUCUAAAGGCAGCAUCCUCCCCAGCAAGUUUUGUUCUAGGCAUCAGUCUGCCCGACGUCCACUGUGGAACUGGGGCCUGUGAAGAAUGAUGACGAGAGGUGCUGGGACUGCUUUCUCGAGGAAGAGCUCCAGGCUGACCCUUGGGCCAGAGAAGUCCAAGCUCACAGGGACGGGCCUGCACAGGCUAUGUAGAAGACGGACCACUGUGGAUCGGGCCCAGAGGAUCCCACAGAAUUGUCCUCAGACUCCGAGGCAGAGAGAAAUCCACAGAAGAGCAGUGGCCAAACAGCAAGCACAGAAGCAGCUGUAGCCAAAAGCACCUGAGCCUGAGGAUGGCAGGGAGCGCGCUGAUGUGCAGAGAGCUAGGAUGCUGAAGGGGUCUUAAUUUCAUCUAAAUCCAAAACCUCAACACAUAGUGGGGAGGGGCAGUGCCCCAGGGCCGUGGCCGCGGUGGGAAGGCCGGACUGUGAGGUCACAGAGCCCCGCUGUGCCACGCCGUGAUGUGCAGUGCUGUGCCACGGGCACCGCUCCAGCAGCAGCAGCAGCAGCAGCAGCAGCAGCAGCAGCAGCGGCAUGGCGCAGGCGUGGGGGGCCAUGACCCCCGCCUGCCUCCUUACCCUCUUUGUGGUGUCCCUGCAAGCCUGGGCUGUCGGGGCUGCUCCGUGGCAAGCGCGGGGAUUAGCUGUGCCUGUAGCCGAUGGCCACCCGACUGCUCAGCCGGAUCUUGUCCGGGAGCCUCAGGGCAACCCCACAGG